Molecule: ribosomal RNA, 406 nt
Filed under: uncultured bacterium
Lineage: Bacteria
Description: partial 16S ribosomal RNA
Rfam family: Bacterial small subunit ribosomal RNA
Source: RNAcentral
AUUGAACGCUGGCGGCAGGCCUAACACAUGCAAGUCGAGCGAGCGGCGGACGGGUGAGUAAUGCCUAGGAAUCUGCCCGGUAGUGGGGGAUAACGUCCGGAAACGGGCGCUAAUACCGCAUACCAUCGGAUGUGCCCAGGUGGGAUUAGCUAGUAGGUGGGGUAAAGGCGCACCUAGGCGACGAGCCCUAGCUGAUCUGCGCGGAUGACCAGCCACACUGGAAGUGAGACACGGUCCAGACUCCUACGGGAGGCAGCAGUGGGGAAGAUUGCACGAUGGGUGCAAGCCUGAGGCAGCCAAGCCGCGUGUAUGAAGAAGGCCUUCGGGUUGUAAAGUACUUUCAGCGGGGAGGCGUUAGCCGCAGAAGAAGCACCGGCUAACUCCGUGCCAGCAGCCGCGGUAAUUC